RNAcentral lists this ribosomal RNA (492 nucleotides) under uncultured bacterium. Its description in RNAcentral is "partial 16S ribosomal RNA". It matches the Rfam family "Bacterial small subunit ribosomal RNA", at positions 29 to 507 of the family's 1533-position model. The record is from RNAcentral.
AGUGAACGCUGGCGGUAGGCCUAACACAUGCAAGUCGAACGGCAGCACAGUAAGAGCUUGCUCUUACGGGUGGCGAGUGGCGGACGGGUGAGGAAUACAUCGGAAUCUACUUUUUCGUGGGGGAUAACGUAGGGAAACUUACGCUAAUACCGCAUACGACCUACGGGUGAAAGCAGGGGAUCUUCGGACCUUGCGCGAUUGAAUGAGCCGAUGUCGGAUUAGCUAGUUGGCGGGGUAAAGGCCCACCAAGGCGACGAUCCGUAGCUGGUCUGAGAGGAUGAUCAGCCACACUGGAACUGAGACACGGUCCAGACUCCUACGGGAGGCAGCAGUGGGGAAUAUUGGACAAUGGGCGCAAGCCUGAUCCAGCCAUACCGCGUGGGUGAAGAAGGCCUUCGGGUUGUAAAGCCCUUUUCUUGGGAAAGAAAGGCAGCAGGUUAAUACCCCGCUGUUCUGACGGUACCCAAAGAAUAAGCACCGGCUAACUUCGUG